GGCAAAUGGUUUGCUUGCUGCAUCUCAUGGGAUACUUUUACUAUUACAAAAAGAAGAAAAGAAAUUGAAUUUAUAAUACCCAAGAUAAAAUGUAAUUUGACAGAAAGAUAGCUGUUAUUUCUUGCUGGUUGAGUGAUCACAUAAAGGUUCCCAAGCUGGCUUAUAGAAAUAAUAGCUGAAGAGUGGCUGAAAGGAUAAGAAGUUCAACUACUGAUCUCAAGGUCAGAUGGUUUGACAGGAGUUGGCAGGCUGGACUGGAGAGCUGCACCAGGCUCCACUCGUCUGUUUUGGCAUGAUUUCUAUGGUGAGAUACCCUUCCUAAUGCCAACCACUCUACAGAGUGUACUAGGUGCUUUUCAUGAGGCACCAGCAUGGGAGCUUUUUACAUGGUGCCAGCAUGGAUGCUUUUUAUGUGGUGCCUUGUAAAAAGUACAGGUGCUUAUGUGGUACCAGCAUGGAUGCUUUUUUAUGUGGCACCUACAUGGGAUAUCACUAAUAAAGAAAGGGAAAAUUUAUUGUAACUUCAACUGAUGAUCCACUGACAAGUUGUUUUUAUCUACAUGAAGGAAAACAAUAUGAUGAUAUAAUCUGAAAGUAAAAUUAUUAAUUCUAUUUGGAUCAUCUGAAUAUAUUGUAUGUAUAACCCUAUGACAAAGAAUACACCAUAUUAAUUAACAAUACUAGCUGAGUAGGCUGGGUAUACUUUAUAUGUGUGUUUACAACAUUAUAUAAACACACACAUGCAUGUGCACAUACACACACUCACCAUUCUAACUCAUUCCUUAUAUCAAUACUUUAGAAUAUUGUUUUUAGCACUUAAUUUAUAUCUUAAGAUA
Long non-coding RNA from Octopus bimaculoides (California two-spot octopus), 836 nucleotides. RefSeq lists it as uncharacterized. Lineage: Eukaryota; Metazoa; Mollusca; Cephalopoda; Octopoda; Octopodidae. The record is from RefSeq and is a predicted model, not a curated record.